UUCUAUGUCGUCGUUAAUCUCAUGAAACUUGUUCAAAUCGAAUUCAUGUUUAACUUUGAAAUUGUUAACAUGAAAACCUUCUUCCGUCUUCAUCUUGUUUUGAAAAUAUUUUUUUUUUUCUAACAUCAACAUGAAGCUUUAUUAGAGUGAUGAUGUGUAAUCCUCAUGGAGGAUUUGUACAAGAAAAGUUGGUACAUAAGAAUGAGAUACAUAAGAAACAUUGCCAUUAUAAUGAGCUUUAGCUAGGCGAUCGGCUGCCUUAUUGCUUGUUCUGGUUGACCAUUGAAUGUUUUGACCAUUGCCAUUAUUGCUUGUUUUGAAAAUAUUUUAUGAAUUUGAAAAAAACAGAU
This is a long non-coding RNA of Arabidopsis thaliana (thale cress), 350 nucleotides long. RefSeq annotates it as other RNA. The transcript has a single exon. The record is from RefSeq. NCBI's taxonomy places the organism in Eukaryota, Viridiplantae, Streptophyta, Magnoliopsida, Brassicales, Brassicaceae.